This 191-nucleotide ribosomal RNA is filed under the name uncultured Stenotrophomonas sp. RNAcentral describes it as "partial 16S ribosomal RNA". It matches the Rfam family "Bacterial small subunit ribosomal RNA", at positions 337 to 520 of the family's 1533-position model. Lineage: Bacteria; Pseudomonadati; Pseudomonadota; Gammaproteobacteria; Lysobacterales; Lysobacteraceae. The record is from RNAcentral.
UCCUACGGGAGGCAGCAGUGGGGAAUAUUGGACAAUGGGCGCAAGCCUGAUCCAGCCAUGCCGCGUGGGUGAAGAAGGCCUUCGGGUUGUAAAGCCCUUUUGUUGGGAAAGAAAUCCAGCUGGCUAAUACCCGGUUGGGAUGACGGUACCCAAAGAAUAAGCACCGGCUAACUUCGUGCCAGCAGCCGCGG